RNAcentral lists this ribosomal RNA (253 nucleotides) under uncultured bacterium. RNAcentral's name for it is "partial 16S ribosomal RNA". It matches the Rfam family "Bacterial small subunit ribosomal RNA", at positions 524 to 776 of the family's 1533-position model. The record is from RNAcentral.
UACGUACGAGGCGAGCGUUAUCCGGAAUCACUGGGCGUAAAGGGUGCGUAGGCGGGGCUUUAAGUCAGGGGUGAAAUCCUGGAGCUCAACUCCAGAACUGCCUUUGAUACUGAGGAUCUUGAGUUCGGGAGAGGUGAGUGGAACUGCGAGUGUAGAGGUGAAAUUCGUAGAUAUUCGCAAGAACACCAGUGGCGAAGGCGGCUCACUGGCCCGAUACUGACGCUGAGGCACGAAAGCGUGGGGAGCAAACAGG